UCAAAAUUAACUGUGUCCUACAAACAAAAC
RNAcentral lists this non-coding RNA (30 nucleotides) under Homo sapiens (human). The record is from RNAcentral. Lineage: Eukaryota; Metazoa; Chordata; Mammalia; Primates; Hominidae.